Molecule: ribosomal RNA, 818 nt
Filed under: uncultured bacterium
Lineage: Bacteria
Description: bacterial SSU rRNA
Rfam family: Bacterial small subunit ribosomal RNA
Source: RNAcentral
CAAGUCGAGCGGUAAGGCUCCUCCAGGCUACUUAAGCGAAAGUUUGAGUGGUGCGGUGGAGUACACGAGCGGCGGACGGCUGAGUAACACGUAGGAACGUACCCCAAACUGAGGGAUAAGCACCAGAAAUGGUGUCUAAUACCGCAUGUGAUCUUCGGAUUAAAGCUACGGCGGUUUGGGAACGGCCUGCGCAUGAUUAGUUUGUUGGUGAGGUAAUGGCUCACCAAGACUACGAUCAUUAGCUGGUCUGAGAGGAUGAUCAGCCAGACUGGGACUGAGAACGGCCCAGACUCCUACGGGAGGCAGCAGUAGGGAAUUUUCCACAAUGGACGAAAGUCUGAUGGAGCAACGCCGCGUGCAGGAUGAAGGCUUUCGGGUCGUAAACUGCUUUUAUAUGUGACGAUUUUGACGGUAGCAUAUGAAUAAGGAUCGGCUAACUCCGUGCCAGCAGCCGCGGUCAUACGGAGGAUCCAAGCGUUAUCCGGAAUUACUGGGCGUAAAGAGUUGCGUAGGUGGCAGAGUAAGUCUGUAGUGAAAGCGUUCGGCUCAACCGAAUAUACAUUAUGGAAACUGCUCAGCUAGAGGAUGAGAGAGGUUAUUGGAAUUCCCAGUGUAGGAGUGAAAUCCGUAGAUAUUGGGAGGAGCACCGAUGGCGUAGGCAGAUAACUGGCUCAUUCCUGACACUAAGGCACGAAAGCGUGGGGAGCAAACGGGAUUAGAUACCCCGGUAGUCCACGCCGUAAACUAUGGAUACUAGCUGUGAGAGGUAUCGACCCCUCUCGUAGCGAAGCUAACGCGUUAAGUAUCCCGCCUGUGGA